GAAAAUCUAUUAAAAUGCAGAGAAACAAAGUUGAAUGACCAUAUAGCAUGGACUCAAAAGUGUCGGUUGGCAUUGCUCGGCGUGCAUGAUAUCGUCUGGCACAAAGUAAAUUAUGAUCGCUUUGAGAAGUGAUAUACAAGUGCAACGAUAUGAUAUAUAUGCUCUCAACCAUAUGAAGAUCAACAAAAACAAAUAUCUUGUACAUUAAAUAAUAAUUUUAUGUCACACAGAACCAUCAUAAACCGAGUUAAUGAUGUUAAAGGAGG
This 266-nucleotide long non-coding RNA is filed under the name Elaeis guineensis (African oil palm). RNAcentral describes it as "long non-coding RNA (EGUI_LNC007439)". Lineage: Eukaryota; Viridiplantae; Streptophyta; Magnoliopsida; Arecales; Arecaceae. The record is from RNAcentral.